Molecule: ribosomal RNA, 461 nt
Filed under: uncultured bacterium
Lineage: Bacteria
Description: partial 16S ribosomal RNA
Rfam family: Bacterial small subunit ribosomal RNA
Source: RNAcentral
CCUACGGGGGGCUGCAGUGAGGAAUAUUGGUCAAUGGGCGCAAGCCUGAACCAGCCAAGUCGCGUGAGGGAUGACGGUCCUAUGGAUUGUAAACCUCUUUUGUCGGGGAGCAAGGCCCGCCACGUGUGGCGGGAAGGAGAGUACCCGAAGAAAAAGCAUCGGCUAACUACGUGCCAGCAGCCGCGGUAAUACGUAGGGGGCAAGCGUUAUCCGGAUUUACUGGGUGUACAGGGAGCGUAGACGGUUAAUCAAGUCAGAAGUGAACACCCAGGGCUCAACCUUGGGACUGCUUUUGAAACUGAGUAGCUAGAGUGCAGGAGAGGUAAGCGGAAUUCCUAGUGUAGCGGUGAAAUGCGUAGAUAUUAGGAGGAACACCAGUGGCGAAGGCGGCUUACUGGACUGUAACUGACGUUGAGGCUCGAAAGCGUGGGGAGCAAACAGGAUUAGAUACCCGUGUAGUC